CCUACGGGAGGCAGCAGUAAGGAAUAUUGGUCAAUGGGCGGAAGCCUGAACCAGCCAUGCCGCGUGCAGGAUGACUGCCCUAUGGGUUGUAAACUGCUUUUGUCCAGGAAUAACCGCAGGUACGUGUACCUGUCUGAAUGUACUGGAAGAAUAAGGAUCGGCUAACUCCGUGCCAGCAGCCGCGGUAAUA
RNAcentral lists this ribosomal RNA (190 nucleotides) under uncultured bacterium. Its description in RNAcentral is "partial 16S ribosomal RNA". It matches the Rfam family "Bacterial small subunit ribosomal RNA", at positions 338 to 525 of the family's 1533-position model. The record is from RNAcentral.